AAAAAAUCCGUCCCCCUUCCCGACACAUGAACCCUAAAUCCCUAUAUUCCUCUAUUCUCGAAGCUCUUACGUUUUGACUCAAUCCGCCGAGAAUCGAUCUUGUUCUUAUACUUCUCCGCCGAGAAUUUGAAUCCCAGAAAUCUGACGAACCCCUAAUCCCCUUUCUGAAAUUCUGGGGAACACUAAAUCACAAGGUGAUCUUGUCAUGUUUGAGUUUUUUUUUGCCAUUAGCUUUCUCGGUAGCUGUUACCUUUAUACUGCCUUGGCUCUCUUCAUCACAUGUGCCUUAGAACGUUGUUGCUGAAUUGAGAAUUAAUGGUUCUGUGAAUCUCUUUAACAGAACUUAUAUUGUAGAUGUUGUCCCAGGUGGAAGUCCAGAAUGGCUAAGAACCGUGAUACUUGCUGUUGUUAUUGCUACUUUCAUAAGUCUGACUAUCGUAUACCUCCGGUAAUGCUCUAUCUCAAAGCUUUGUUUUGGAAACUUAUCACAAUAAUUAGUAAACAUUACUUGAAAAAUUUAUGGUCCCCAGGUUCGAAAAGGUCGAUUGUUACUUGCACUAUGCAUUAUCACUGACCUCUCUGUUGCUCUUGUAUCUUCUGGUUUUCUUCUUGCAUUUACUGAGUAUACUGCAAGAGCAGUAAAUGUAAUAAGUAGUCCCUCUCUGUUGUCUCUCGUUUCAUUGGAAGUUGUUUGUUUUUGGGGUGGCAAUUGUUUAAUUCUUUUAAUGUUGCUAAUGUGGUUGUUCACAUGAUAUGAAGUAGAAGACUGGUCUCUCUUGGAAAGUCCCACGGAAUUGCAGGUUUUGAGUCUGAAACCACCUUUCUUUCCUCUGUUUUUACGAUUGUUUAAGGAAAUCAUGAUUGUUUUUUUUUUUCGUUUGCAGUCUUUAUUCACUUCGGAGAUAUGAUAAAUCUAUGUAUGAAGAAAAUAGCGAGCCACCUGGAGAAUCCCAAGAGUGAAGUGUGUAUGUGUUUACAAAAGUAUAUAGAGAUUUGUUUUUGUUACAUGACCAAGAAGAAGAAAGCUGCAAGCCAAAUUUUGUAAAAAAUCAUCCUGAUCCAUUGUUCUAAAAAAAGAAACACAACACAAAUGUCUUUUUUUUGUUGCGCCAAAAGAGCCCAUUUUUCUUCUGCAGCACUCUUUGUCUCGUGUGAUCAAUACCUCAACAACACUCUUAUACUUACAUUUCAGUAAAAGUACUCUUGUAUGUUUUCAUCUCCUCUUAAAAGAGUAACUAUGAGUACUAACGUGGUG
RNAcentral lists this long non-coding RNA (1255 nucleotides) under Brassica rapa (field mustard). RNAcentral's name for it is "long non-coding RNA (BRAP_LNC003805)". Lineage: Eukaryota; Viridiplantae; Streptophyta; Magnoliopsida; Brassicales; Brassicaceae. The record is from RNAcentral.